GGAUGGCUCUAACUUACCUGGCGAGAAGUAUGAAGGCGAUAAGGACCAAAUGGAAGUCGUCGAUGAAAACGAGCCUACCAAUCGGUCUACCCCAGCCCCUGUAGUGGAAGAAGAUGUCCAUUCCAAUGUUGCUCACCAAGCUAAUCCAUUGGGCCAACAUGUCCCGGUUGCAUCUCCAAUCCCUGAUGAUGAUUGCCCGG
Long non-coding RNA from Eutrema salsugineum, 200 nucleotides. RefSeq lists it as uncharacterized. The record is from RefSeq and is a predicted model, not a curated record. NCBI's taxonomy places the organism in Eukaryota, Viridiplantae, Streptophyta, Magnoliopsida, Brassicales, Brassicaceae. The transcript has 4 exons.